This 366-nucleotide ribosomal RNA is filed under the name Agelastica alni. RNAcentral's name for it is "partial 16S ribosomal RNA". The record is from RNAcentral. Lineage: Eukaryota; Metazoa; Arthropoda; Insecta; Coleoptera; Chrysomelidae.
UUAAAUGGCCGUGGUAUUUUGACCGUGCUAAGGUAGCAUAAUCAUUAGUUUUUUAAUUAAAAACUGGAAUGAAAGGUUGAAUAAGAAAAUAACUGUCUCUAUUAAAUUUAAUUAGAAUUUUAUUUUUAAGUUAAAAAGCUUAAUUAAUAUUAAAAGACGAGAAGACCCUAUAGAGUUUAAUUAUUAAAUAAAAAUUAUAUUUUAGUAUUUAUAUAUUUAAUUUGUUAAAUAAUUUAAUUGGGGUGAUUGAAAAAUUUAUUAAACUUUUUUUAUUUUUUUACAUUUAUUUAUGGUUAAAUGAUCCAUUAUUUUUGAUUAUAAGAUAAAAUUACCUUAGGGAUAACAGCGUAAUUUUUUUAGAGAGUU